AAGUCGUAACAAGGUUUCCGUAGGUGAACCUGCGGAAGGAUCAUUCUUGAAUUACACCCACCACUUUCCAGUGGCAACAUUUGUGAACUGUACAUUAUCCUUGUGCGGACCGGCGGAACAUCGAGUGACACGGCUAGUCGACGCGGUAAACUCCGCAACGCUUUUGCCUGUCUCAUCUUUGCUUCGGCGCCGCACGUUAAGCACGUACCUCGAAAACUUGAAACUUAAUUAAAAUAUCUAAUCUAAAUACAACUUUUAGCAACGGAUCUCUAGGCUCUC
This 279-nucleotide unclassified non-coding RNA is filed under the name fungal sp. RNAcentral describes it as "partial internal transcribed spacer region". The stretch from base 1 to 46 matches the Rfam family "Eukaryotic small subunit ribosomal RNA", at positions 1786 to 1831 of the family's 1831-position model. The record is from RNAcentral. Lineage: Eukaryota; Fungi.